GUCAGAAGGAGGAAGGCUCAGAAACAUCUUAUUAGUUCCCCAUGUGUGCCUAGGAAAAGAGAGGUAAAUAUGAAGAGCUACCUUUUAUUAACACAGAAAACAAGCGAUGAAGCCAAACCCAAACAGUACGGAGAAAAUGUAGCACAUAGUUAAAGCAAUUCUAUUAAAAAAUCAGAAUAGGACAAAUGAGCAUGUGCAGUUUAAGUAAGUAUAAAUAUGUUGUGUGAGUCAUGGUGAAAAGCAUAUCUCUGCCUAAUGUUUGCAGCAGUAAAUAUCAAAUUAAUAUAUGUUUGUUUUGUGUUGCUUCUAAUGAUAUCAGAAUCACCUGGAUCAAUGAUAGCCAGUGUGCAUACUCUGUAGUAUUUCCCACAUGCUGUGCCCAAUUCAAUAUUAUUGCCACUGUAGUGAUGGACACCAGUUUUGGCCAACAUGGCCUAGUAUUCUAUUUCAGAUUUCCUCAAAGCCGGGCAAUUGUUGGCCAGGAUGACCAGUUUCGCGGCCACCAUCUUCCUGCCUUAGACGCGGGACGGCCCCAACCAACAGCAACCGCCAAAAAAUCCCCAUUCCCUUUUAUACUGCUCCAGCAAUAUAUGACAGUGAGCUGCUCCAUAUCCCCCCCCACCCCUACCCUCCCCGCCCUGCCCAAUCUGGUAUGGUAUCCUUUGUUCAUUACAGCCAUCCCAGUAGGUGUGAAGUGGUCUUAA
This 704-nucleotide long non-coding RNA is filed under the name Canis lupus familiaris (dog). Its description in RNAcentral is "lncRNA (ENSCAFG00030010033.1)". Lineage: Eukaryota; Metazoa; Chordata; Mammalia; Carnivora; Canidae. The record is from RNAcentral.